Molecule: microRNA precursor, 213 nt
Filed under: Marmota monax (woodchuck)
Lineage: Eukaryota; Metazoa; Chordata; Mammalia; Rodentia; Sciuridae
Source: RNAcentral
AGCCAGAAAAGAGAGAGAGAGAGAGAGAGAGAGAGAGAGAGAGAACAACAACGCAACUCGUCUAACAGGAAACAUCUCUUCUCCAAGCUUCCUGAGUACACGAGUACCCAGGUUCAUUUGUUCGUUCUUUCUUUCUUUCUUUCUUUUUCUCUUUCUUUUUUCCUUCUCUCUCUCUCUCUCUCUCUCUCUCUCUCUCUCUCUCUUUCUCUCUCU